CUGGCCUCUCGGGGCAUGUGCACGCCCGAGCCCUUAAUCCACACACACCUGUGAACCUAUUGUAAGGGCCCUUAAAAAAGGCCUUUACGUCUUAUCAUCAACCCAUCGUAUGUCUCAUAGAAUGUAAAUAUAUGUCCUCGCCUUAAAAAGCGUUGAUAAACUUAUACAACUUUCAACAACGGAUCUCUUGGCUCUCGCAUCGAUGAAGAACGCAGCGAAAUGCGAUAAGUAAUGUGAAUUGCAGAUUUUCAGUGAAUCAUCGAAUCUUUGAACGCACCUUGCGCUCCUUGGUAUUCCGAGGAGCAUGCCUGUUUGAGUGUCAUUAAAUUCUCAACUCNGAUCGAUUUGUUUCGACUUCGGAGCUUGGAUUUGGAGCGUGCUGGCGUCGGUCGGCUCCUCUUAAAUGCAUCAGCGGAAUCUAACGUUUCGGANGUCAGUGUGAUAAUCAUGUUGCGCUGUCUGUCUGAUCCGAAAGCCCGCUCACAAUGGUCUUCGGACAACUUCAUAUCAAAUUUGACCUCAAAUCAGGUAGGACUACCCGCUGAACUUAAGCAUAUCAAUAAGCGGAGGAAAAGAAACUAACAAGGAUUCCCCUAGUAACUGCGAGUGAAGCGGGAAAAGCUCAAAUUUAAAAUCUGGCGGUCUUGCGGCCGUCCGAGUUGUAAUCUGGAGAAGCGUUUAUCCGCGUCGGACCGUGUACAAGUCUUCUGGAAGGGAGCGUCGUAGA
RNAcentral lists this ribosomal RNA (727 nucleotides) under Piloderma olivaceum. RNAcentral describes it as "eukaryotic LSU rRNA". The stretch from base 168 to 322 matches the Rfam family "5.8S ribosomal RNA". The record is from RNAcentral. Lineage: Eukaryota; Fungi; Basidiomycota; Agaricomycetes; Atheliales; Atheliaceae.